GUCGAGCGGACAGAUGGGAGCUUGCUCCCUGAAGUCAGCGGCGGACGGGUGAGUAACACGUGGGCAACCUGCCUGUAAGACUGGGAUAACUUCGGGAAACCGGAGCUAAUACCGGAUAAUCCUUUUCCUUUCAUGAGGAAAAGCUGAAAGACGGUUUCGGCUGUCACUUACAGAUGGGCCCGCGGCGCAUUAGCUAGUUGGUGAGGUAACGGCUCACCAAGGCGACGAUGCGUAGCCGACCUGAGAGGGUGAUCGGCCACACUGGGACUGAGACACGGCCCAGACUCCUACGGGAGGCAGCAGUAGGGAAUCUUCCGCAAUGGACGAAAGUCUGACGGAGCAACGCCGCGUGAGUGAUGAAGGCCUUCGGGUCGUAAAGCUCUGUUGUUAGGGAAGAACAAGUAUCGGAGUAACUGCCGGUACCUUGACGGUACCUAACCAGAAAGCCACGGCUAACUACGUGCCAGCAGCCGCGGUAAUACGUAGGUGGCAAGCGUUGUCCGGAAUUAUUGGGCGUAAAGCGCGCGCAGGCGGUCCUUUAAGUCUGAUGUGAAAGCCCACGGCUCAACC
Molecule: ribosomal RNA, 570 nt
Filed under: Neobacillus drentensis
Lineage: Bacteria; Bacillati; Bacillota; Bacilli; Caryophanales; Bacillaceae
Description: bacterial SSU rRNA
Rfam family: Bacterial small subunit ribosomal RNA
Source: RNAcentral